Triticum aestivum (bread wheat) is the source of this 135-nucleotide non-coding RNA. Lineage: Eukaryota; Viridiplantae; Streptophyta; Magnoliopsida; Poales; Poaceae. The record is from Rfam.
AUACUACUCCAUCCGUUCGGAAAUACUUGUCAUCAAAAUGAAUAAAAUGAGAUGUAUUUAGACGUAAUUUAGUUCUAGAUACACCCCUUUUUAUUUAUUUUAAUGAUAAGUAUUUUUAGACGGAGGGAGUACAAG